AGGGUCAUAGCUCAGUGGUAGAGCAUCUGUUUGGAUGCAAAAGGCUCUGGGUUCAAUCCCCAGCAUCCCUA
Podarcis lilfordi (Lilford's wall lizard) is the source of this 71-nucleotide non-coding RNA. NCBI's taxonomy places the organism in Eukaryota, Metazoa, Chordata, Lepidosauria, Squamata, Lacertidae. The record is from the annotation of a GenBank genome assembly.